CCUACGGGAGGCAGCAGUGGGGGAUAUUGCACAAUGGGGGGAACCCUGAUGCAGCGACGCCGCGUGGGUGAAGGAGUGCUUCGGCAUGUAAAGCCCUAUCGGCAGGGAAGAAGCAAGACGGUACCUGACUAAGAAGCCCCGGCUAACUACGUGCCAGCAGCCGCGGUAAUACGUAGGGGGCGAGCGUUAUCCGGAUUCACUGGGUGUAAAGGGAGCGUAGGCGGCCAUGCAAGCCAGGGGGGAAAGCCCGGGGCCGACCCCCGGGACUGCCCUUGGAACUGGGCGGCUAGAGUGCAGGAGGGGCAGGCGGAAUGAGUGGUGUAGCGGUGAAAUGCGUAGAUAUAAGGAGGAACACCGGCGGCGAAGGCGGCCUGCUGGACUGCGACUGACGUUGAGGCUCGAAAGCGUGGGGAGCGAACAGGAUUAGAUACCCUAGUAGUC
This 441-nucleotide ribosomal RNA is filed under the name uncultured bacterium. RNAcentral describes it as "partial 16S ribosomal RNA". It matches the Rfam family "Bacterial small subunit ribosomal RNA", at positions 338 to 795 of the family's 1533-position model. The record is from RNAcentral.